This 219-nucleotide long non-coding RNA is filed under the name Bos taurus (domestic cattle). RNAcentral's name for it is "long non-coding RNA NONBTAT022392". Lineage: Eukaryota; Metazoa; Chordata; Mammalia; Artiodactyla; Bovidae. The record is from RNAcentral.
CACCCUUUAAAAAAUGAGGCCAUCUAUUUAUUACAUUCUGUUUAUAUGUCUACUAGGAAAGAUUCAUUUUCUGCUUGAAGAUUUAACCCCUCAAUUUAUAUUAAAAAGUUAGUUAUACCUAAAUCUUUACUGAUGAACCACGUUCGAGCAUACUUACAGUACCCUUACCAGUUUAUACAUAGUUCUACAUAUUUGAUAGGUUAUAGAGAAGCAUUCAGG